RNAcentral lists this transfer RNA (104 nucleotides) under Claviceps sp. LM218 group G6. Its description in RNAcentral is "tRNA-Ile". It matches the Rfam family "tRNA". Rfam says of the family: Transfer RNA (tRNA) molecules are approximately 80 nucleotides in length. Their secondary structure includes four short double-helical elements and three loops (D, anti-codon, and T loops). Lineage: Eukaryota; Fungi; Ascomycota; Sordariomycetes; Hypocreales; Clavicipitaceae. The record is from RNAcentral.
GUUCCCGUAGCGGAGUGGUUACCGCGUGACUCUUAUACGCUAGGAAUUCCCUUAGUAGUAUGGUAGAUAUGUCAAGGUCCGGGGUUCGACCCCCCGCGGGAACA